This 253-nucleotide ribosomal RNA is filed under the name uncultured bacterium. RNAcentral's name for it is "partial 16S ribosomal RNA". It matches the Rfam family "Bacterial small subunit ribosomal RNA", at positions 524 to 776 of the family's 1533-position model. The record is from RNAcentral.
UACGUAGGGGGCAAGCGUUGUCCGGAAUCAUUGGGCGUAAAGCGCGUGUAGGCGGCUCGAUAAGUCCGCUGUGAAAGCCCGGGGCUCAACCCCGGGAUGCCGGUGGAUACUGUCGAGCUAGAGUCCGGAAGAGGCGAGUGGAAUUCCUGGUGUAGCGGUGAAAUGCGCAGAUAUCAGGAGGAACACCAAUUGCGAAGGCAGCUCGCUGGGACGGUACUGACGCUGAGACGCGAAAGCGUGGGAAGCAAACAGG